UCCUUCGGGAAUGGAUUAGUGGCGAACGGGUGAGGAACACGUGAGAAACCUGCCUUUCAUUCUGGGAUAACACCGGGAAACCGGUGCUAAUACCGGAUACUCCGUCUUGGCGGCAUCGCCGAGCCGGGAAAAAAUUUUGAUGAAAGAUGGUCUCGCGGCCUAUCAUCUAGUUGGUGAGGUAAAGGCUCACCAAGGCGACGACGGGUAGCCGGCCUGAGAGGGCGACCGGCCACACUGGGACUGAGACACGGCCCAGACUCCUACGGGAGGCAGCAGUAGGGAAUAUUGGGCAAUGGGCGCAAGCCUGACCCAGCGACGCCGCGUGAGGGAUGAAGGUCUUCGGAUUGUAAACCUCUUUCAGUAGGGAAGAAGCGAAAGUGACGGUACCUAAAGAAGAAGCACCGGCUAACUAUGUGCCAGCAGCCGCGGUAAUACAUAGGGUGCAAGCGUUGUCCGGAAUUAUUGGGCGUAAAGAGCUCGUAGGUUGUUUGUCGCGUCGAUUGUGAAAAUCUGAGGCUCAACCUCAGACCUGCAGUCGAUACGGGCAGACUAGAGUGUGGUAGGGGAGACUGGAAUUCCUGGUGUAGGGGUGGAAUGCGCAGAUAUCAGGAGGAACACCAAUGGCGAAGGCAGGUCUCUGGACCAUAACUGACACUGAGGAGCGAAAGUGCGGGGAGCGAACAGGAUUAGAUACCCUGGUAGUCCGCACCGUAAACGGUGGGCACUAGUUGUGGGAACCUUCCACGGUUUCCGCGACGCAGCAAACGCAUUAAGUGCCCCGCCUGGGGAGUACGAUCGCAAG
RNAcentral lists this ribosomal RNA (802 nucleotides) under uncultured Micrococcineae bacterium. RNAcentral describes it as "bacterial SSU rRNA". It matches the Rfam family "Bacterial small subunit ribosomal RNA", at positions 76 to 892 of the family's 1533-position model. The record is from RNAcentral. Lineage: Bacteria; Bacillati; Actinomycetota; Actinomycetes; Micrococcales.